UAUUGACAAACAAGCCAUGCAUCGAUCAGAUUAUUCAAAAAAAUAUUCUGCACCAGAAAGAGAAACUACUUGAGCACUGAAUUCCCCGCCCAGGCGGCCCAGGAAUUCCGACUUGCCCAGAGCUUCCUGGUUCUCCCUGUACACAGUCACAAUUCAAAGAAAUGUUUUUCUUCAUCACAGGCCCCACAGGCCCCACGGAUCCUGGCAGCCCCCUAGGACCCCUGUCUCCUCGGUCCCCCUGUGCACAGAAGAA
This is a long non-coding RNA of Anguilla anguilla (European eel), 253 nucleotides long. RefSeq lists it as uncharacterized. The record is from RefSeq and is a predicted model, not a curated record. NCBI's taxonomy places the organism in Eukaryota, Metazoa, Chordata, Actinopteri, Anguilliformes, Anguillidae. The transcript is spliced from 3 exons.